GCGGGACGGCGCGUGCUGGUCCGCUGCGUUCUCAGCGCCAUGCCGACCUUUGCGCUCACCGUCCUGAAGGUGCCAAAAAAGAACCUCAAAGAAAUUGACAGAUGCCGCCGCCAUUUCCUUUGGAAGCAAGACAAGGAAAUCUCCGGCGCAAGUUGCAAAGUUAGCUGGGCAGCGGUUUGCACUCCAACGAAAAAUGGAGGCCUAGGAGUCCCUGACCUCUCGCGGUUUGGACGUGCCCUUCGCCUACGCUGGCCCUGGCUCGCAUGGCGCCACCCUAAGCGCCCAUGGGUGGGCUCGGUCCUGCCUUGCAACGACGAUGACCUCUCCCUCUUCACGGUGGCCACCUCAGUCAGCAUCGGCGAUGGCGCGACGGUGUCCUUCUGGCACUCUCAUUGGAUGGGGUCGGGCACGCUCGCCCAGCAAUUCCCAUGGUUGGUUCUGCAUGCUCCGAGAAAGAAUAGGACGGUGAAGGAGGCCCUGGCGGACGAAAGCUGA
This 495-nucleotide ribosomal RNA is filed under the name Triticum aestivum (bread wheat). Its description in RNAcentral is "partial small subunit ribosomal RNA". Lineage: Eukaryota; Viridiplantae; Streptophyta; Magnoliopsida; Poales; Poaceae. The record is from RNAcentral.